AAACUUUCAACAACGGAUCUCUUGGUUCCGGCAUCGAUGAAGAACGCAGCGAAAUGCGAUAACUAAUGUGAAUUGCAGAAUUCAGUGAAUCGAUCGAGUCUUUGAACGCACAUUGCGCCGUCUGGUAUUCCGGAGGGCAUGCAUGUCCGAGCGUCAUU
This 158-nucleotide ribosomal RNA is filed under the name fungal endophyte sp. AP853. RNAcentral describes it as "5.8S ribosomal RNA". It matches the Rfam family "5.8S ribosomal RNA". From Rfam's summary of the family: 5.8S ribosomal RNA (5.8S rRNA) is a component of the large subunit of the eukaryotic ribosome. It is transcribed by RNA polymerase I as part of the 45S precursor that also contains 18S and 28S rRNA. The record is from RNAcentral. Lineage: Eukaryota; Fungi.